UUUUCUAGGGUGAUAUGGAGAAGGUGGAGAAUAAAGCGGUUUUUCUCACAGUCCACGAUCUUGGAAGCAAUCACAACUCCAUCAAGAAUUUUGUCGACCAUGAAAGUAUGGUUGAAGUUAAGUCGCGGUCUGUGUUCAUCCACGUCGAUGUUCCUGGUCAAGAAGAGAAUGCUGCCAACUGGCCGACUGAUGUCCCCUAUCCUACAAUUCAGAUGAUGGGCGAAGAAUUGGUCAAGGUUUUAGACUACCUGAAGAUCAAGCUAAUCGUAGGGCUUGGAGAAGGAGCUGGAGCCAACAUUCUUGUCAGAUUUGCUCUCACCCAUCCCUCCCGUGUUCUUGGACUGAUCCUGAUUCAUUGCGUUUCCAAGGGAGUUGGAAUGAUGGAAUAUUUCAAAGAUAAGAUUUUGAACUGGCACUUACAAACGAUCGGGGUGAACCCAACGGCAGAGCAGUUUCUUGUUCUUCAUAAAUUUGGACCGGAGGAAAUUGAGACAGUAGAAAACAAAGAGACACUUAUCCAAGAGUACACAGAAACACUUAAAAAGAAAGUGAAUCCCCUGAAUCUGAGACGUUACGUUGAAGCUUAUAUGAACCGAAAGGACAUAACCGCAGCGAUUGAAACUAAUCUCACGUCUACGGAUGUCAUGAUGGUGACUGGAGCGAAGGCAAUUCACAUGCAAGCGGUGGAGAACAUGUUCAUGAGAAUGAGCAAACAAAAGACUACUUUACUUAAAAUAGACAGCGUGGGUGACGUCCUCCAAGGAGCGCCUGUAAAGCUUGCUCAGAAUCUACUUCUCUUUGUAAAAGGGCUCGGAUACUUGACCUCAGUGACCCUACCUGGAGUCGAGAGACAGCGAACCUUCUCUGGAGGAGAUCAAGCAGCAUUAGGAGCGGGUCCACGGCGAAGAACAAUGUCAAUGGAAGAUUACGACACACCACGGAUCCGAAGAACUUCCCUGACCGCUGUCCAAAAGUGAACUGACCAAUUGUGCUGGAGUUCAGGCCAAUAUUAUAGAAAUAUGAUACUGUUCUAUCGGAUCAAGUGGCACUAGGAUCGUCGCUCACGUCGAGACCGCUUGUAAAGAACGGUCGUGUUUCUUAGUCACUGAAACCCGUUAACCUGUAGUACAUUAAGCUAAUGUGAUGCACGUUUUGUAAAAUCUAAUAAAGAAUUUUAAAAAGUGUA
Molecule: unclassified non-coding RNA, 1186 nt
Filed under: Limulus polyphemus (Atlantic horseshoe crab)
Lineage: Eukaryota; Metazoa; Arthropoda; Merostomata; Xiphosura; Limulidae
Description: uncharacterized protein ZK1073.1-like, transcript variant X2
Source: RNAcentral